RNAcentral lists this transfer RNA (75 nucleotides) under Bacillota bacterium. RNAcentral describes it as "tRNA-Asn". It matches the Rfam family "tRNA". Rfam says of the family: Transfer RNA (tRNA) molecules are approximately 80 nucleotides in length. Their secondary structure includes four short double-helical elements and three loops (D, anti-codon, and T loops). Lineage: Bacteria; Bacillati; Bacillota. The record is from RNAcentral.
GCUCACUUAGCUCAAUGGCAGAGCAACCGGCUGUUAACCGGUAGGUUGUAGGUUCGAGCCCUACAGUGAGCGCCA